RNAcentral lists this ribosomal RNA (397 nucleotides) under uncultured bacterium. RNAcentral's name for it is "bacterial SSU rRNA". It matches the Rfam family "Bacterial small subunit ribosomal RNA", at positions 362 to 776 of the family's 1533-position model. The record is from RNAcentral.
UAUUGCACAAUGGGGGGAACCCUGAUGCAGCGACGCCGCGUGGGCGAGGAAGUACUUCGGUAUGUAAAGCCCUAUCAGCAGGGAAGCAAAUGUCGGAACCUGACUAAGAAGCCCCGGCCAACCACGUGCCAGCAGCCGCGGUAAUACGUAGGGGGCAAGCGUUAUCCGGAUUUACUGGGUGUAAAGGGAGCGUAGAAGGCGUGCCAAGUCUGGUGUGAAAGGCCGGGGCUCAACCCCGGGACUGCAUUGGAAACUGGCAUGCUGGAGUGCCGGAGGGGCAAGCGGAAUUCCUAGUGUAGCGGUGAAAUGCGUAGAUAUUAGGAGGAACACCGGUGGCGAAGGCGGCUUGCUGGACGGUAACUGACGUUGAGGCUCGAAAGCGUGGGGAGCAAACAGG